GCAAGCUUGGCAGGAUAUGAACUUUUAACAAAAAUGGGGCACAGUUGUACUGCCAUGGCUUCUCGGUUUGAUCGGGGAGCAGAAAGACUUGGUGUUACGGAAUAGAACAAUGCAGAGAGGUGGAAAGAAUGUAAGACCCAGAGAAUGAGGAGUGCUGUGAAAUGCUGUCUCUGGGGCAUGACAUGGCCAUUGCAUCCAUGAGCUCCUUGCAGCUGUAACUGCCUGCACAAGAUCAAGUCAGCAUUCCAACAGCUAUGGCCUGGCAGCAUAAAGACUAUAACAGUGACAAAUUCAAGAAGAGGAGGAAGAGGAAGAAAAAGAAGAGGAGGCAGAGAAAGAAAGGAGGAAGAAGAGGAAGAGGAAGAAAAGGUAGAAAGGAGAAGGGGACUCACUACAGCAGCCACCUUCUGAGUCAGCUCCUCCAGGGACGCAAGCUGAAACCCAGGUGUCUUCUAGCUGAGCGGUUGAACGCUGGCUGGGGUGGGGUGGGGGAGGCACACGACACGAACGGUCGGACGGACAGACACGCAGGUGUUCCUGCGACCAGCUCUGUGCUGUGUCCAGUGUGAGCAAAUGAAGGUCUAUAGGCAGAGAGGGGUAGGUGUCCAGUGAACUUAGUCUUUCCUUGAUGGUACAAAAGUGUUCUAAGCGGUAUAGAAGCACAGAUUUAUCUUCUGUUACUAGGAUGACAAUCAUAAUAAUAGUCAAAAUAUGAAGGGGUAGGCAGACUACUAAAUAUUAUGAGUUUUUAUAUUCAUG
This 759-nucleotide long non-coding RNA is filed under the name Cricetulus griseus (Chinese hamster). RNAcentral's name for it is "lncRNA (ENSCGRG00015040190.1)". The record is from RNAcentral. Lineage: Eukaryota; Metazoa; Chordata; Mammalia; Rodentia; Cricetidae.